UGAUUCCGAUUUAGAGAAAAUGUUGUCCU
This 29-nucleotide non-coding RNA is filed under the name Rattus norvegicus (Norway rat). Lineage: Eukaryota; Metazoa; Chordata; Mammalia; Rodentia; Muridae. The record is from RNAcentral.